RNAcentral lists this ribosomal RNA (264 nucleotides) under uncultured bacterium. RNAcentral describes it as "partial 16S ribosomal RNA". It matches the Rfam family "Bacterial small subunit ribosomal RNA", at positions 89 to 354 of the family's 1533-position model. The record is from RNAcentral.
UGGCGACCGGCGCACGGGUGAGUAACACGUAUCCAACCUGCCGAUGACUCGGGGAUAGCCUUUCGAAAGGAAGAUUAAUACCCGAUGGCAUAGUUCUUCCGCAUGGUAGAACUAUUAAAGAAUUUCGGUCAUCGAUGGGGAUGCGUUCCAUUAGCUUGUUGGCGGGGUAACGGCCCACCAAGGCAUCGAUGGAUAGGGGUUCUGAGAGGAAGGUCCCCCACAUUGGAACUGAGACACGGGCCAGACUCCUACGGGAGGCAGCAG